This 744-nucleotide ribosomal RNA is filed under the name uncultured bacterium. Its description in RNAcentral is "bacterial SSU rRNA". It matches the Rfam family "Bacterial small subunit ribosomal RNA", at positions 8 to 796 of the family's 1533-position model. The record is from RNAcentral.
AGAGUUUGAUCAUGGCUCAGAGCGAACGCUGGCGGCAGGCUUAACACAUGCAAGUCGAGCGGGCGUAGCAAUACGUCAGCGGCAGACGGGUGAGUAACGCGUGGGAACAUACCUUUUGGUUCGGAACAACACAGGGAAACUUGUGCUAAUACCGGAUAAGCCCUUACGGGGAAAGAUUUAUCGCCGAAAGAUUGGCCCGCGUCUGAUUAGCUAGUUGGUGAGGUAACGGCUCACCAAGGCGACGAUCAGUAGCUGGUCUGAGAGGAUGAUCAGCCACAUUGGGACUGAGACACGGCCCAAACUCCUACGGGAGGCAGCAGUGGGGAAUAUUGGACAAUGGGCGCAAGCCUGAUCCAGCCAUGCCGCGUGAGUGAUGAAGGCCCUAGGGUUGUAAAGCUCUUUUGUGCGGGAAGAUAAUGACGGUACCGCAAGAAUAAGCCCCGGCUAACUUCGUGCCAGCAGCCGCGGUAAUACGAAGGGGGCUAGCGUUGCUCGGAAUCACUGGGCGUAAAGGGCGCGUAGGCGGGUCUUUAAGUCGGGGUGAAAUCCUGGAGCUCAACUCCAGAACUGCCUUUUGAUACUGAAGAUCUUGAGUUCGGGAGAGGUGAGUGGAACUGCGAGUGUAGAGGUGAAAUUCGUAGAUAUUCGCAAGAACACCAGUGGCGAAGGCGGCUCACUGGCCCGAUACUGACGCUGAGGCACGAAAGCGUGGGGAGCAAACAGGAUUAGAUACCCUAGUAGUCC